Molecule: ribosomal RNA, 1539 nt
Filed under: Klebsiella pneumoniae
Lineage: Bacteria; Pseudomonadati; Pseudomonadota; Gammaproteobacteria; Enterobacterales; Enterobacteriaceae
Description: 16S ribosomal RNA
Rfam family: Bacterial small subunit ribosomal RNA
Source: RNAcentral
AAAUUGAAGAGUUUGAUCAUGGCUCAGAUUGAACGCUGGCGGCAGGCCUAACACAUGCAAGUCGAGCGGUAGCACAGAGAGCUUGCUCUCGGGUGACGAGCGGCGGACGGGUGAGUAAUGUCUGGGAAACUGCCUGAUGGAGGGGAUAACUACUGGAAACGGUAGCUAAUACCGCAUAACGUCGCAAGACCAAAGUGGGGGACCUUCGGGCCUCAUGCCAUCAGAUGUGCCCAGAUGGGAUUAGCUAGUAGGUGGGGUAACGGCUCACCUAGGCGACGAUCCCUAGCUGGUCUGAGAGGAUGACCAGCCACACUGGAACUGAGACACGGUCCAGACUCCUACGGGAGGCAGCAGUGGGGAAUAUUGCACAAUGGGCGCAAGCCUGAUGCAGCCAUGCCGCGUGUGUGAAGAAGGCCUUCGGGUUGUAAAGCACUUUCAGCGGGGAGGAAGGCGUUAAGGUUAAUAACCUUGGCGAUUGACGUUACCCGCAGAAGAAGCACCGGCUAACUCCGUGCCAGCAGCCGCGGUAAUACGGAGGGUGCAAGCGUUAAUCGGAAUUACUGGGCGUAAAGCGCACGCAGGCGGUCUGUCAAGUCGGAUGUGAAAUCCCCGGGCUCAACCUGGGAACUGCAUUCGAAACUGGCAGGCUAGAGUCUUGUAGAGGGGGGUAGAAUUCCAGGUGUAGCGGUGAAAUGCGUAGAGAUCUGGAGGAAUACCGGUGGCGAAGGCGGCCCCCUGGACAAAGACUGACGCUCAGGUGCGAAAGCGUGGGGAGCAAACAGGAUUAGAUACCCUGGUAGUCCACGCCGUAAACGAUGUCGAUUUGGAGGUUGUGCCCUUGAGGCGUGGCUUCCGGAGCUAACGCGUUAAAUCGACCGCCUGGGGAGUACGGCCGCAAGGUUAAAACUCAAAUGAAUUGACGGGGGCCCGCACAAGCGGUGGAGCAUGUGGUUUAAUUCGAUGCAACGCGAAGAACCUUACCUGGUCUUGACAUCCACAGAACUUUCCAGAGAUGGAUUGGUGCCUUCGGGAACUGUGAGACAGGUGCUGCAUGGCUGUCGUCAGCUCGUGUUGUGAAAUGUUGGGUUAAGUCCCGCAACGAGCGCAACCCUUAUCCUUUGUUGCCAGCGGUUAGGCCGGGAACUCAAAGGAGACUGCCAGUGAUAAACUGGAGGAAGGUGGGGAUGACGUCAAGUCAUCAUGGCCCUUACGACCAGGGCUACACACGUGCUACAAUGGCAUAUACAAAGAGAAGCGACCUCGCGAGAGCAAGCGGACCUCAUAAAGUAUGUCGUAGUCCGGAUUGGAGUCUGCAACUCGACUCCAUGAAGUCGGAAUCGCUAGUAAUCGUAGAUCAGAAUGCUACGGUGAAUACGUUCCCGGGCCUUGUACACACCGCCCGUCACACCAUGGGAGUGGGUUGCAAAAGAAGUAGGUAGCUUAACCUUCGGGAGGGCGCUUACCACUUUGUGAUUCAUGACUGGGGUGAAGUCGUAACAAGGUAACCGUAGGGGAACCUGCGGUUGGAUCACCUCCUUA